This 452-nucleotide ribosomal RNA is filed under the name Babesia ovis. RNAcentral describes it as "SSU rRNA". It matches the Rfam family "Eukaryotic small subunit ribosomal RNA", at positions 512 to 999 of the family's 1831-position model. Lineage: Eukaryota; Apicomplexa; Aconoidasida; Piroplasmida; Babesiidae. The record is from RNAcentral.
AAGAAUGGGAUUUAAACCUCUUCCAGAGUAUCAAUUGGAGGGCAAGUCUGGUGCCAGCAGCCGCGGUAAUUCCAGCUCCAAUAGCGUAUAUUAAAAUUGUUGCAGUUAAAAAGCUCGUAGUUGAAUUUCUGCUGCAUUGCUUUUGCUCCUUUACGAGUCUUUGCAUUGUGGCUUAUUUCGGACUUUGUUUUACAAUGUCCGGAUGUUUACUUUGAGAAAAUUAGAGUGCUCAAAGCAGGCUUUCGCCUUGAAUAGUUUAGCAUGGAAUAAUAAAGUAGGACUUUGGUUCUAUUUUGUUGGUUUUAGGUACCAAAGUAAUGGUUAAUAGGAACAGUUGGGGGCAUUCGUAUUUAACUGUCAGAGGUGAAAUUCUUAGAUUUGUUAAAGACGAACUACUGCGAAAGCAUUUGCCAAGGAUGUUUUCAUUAAUCAAGAACGAAAGUUAGGGGAUC